GGGGAAUAUUGGACAAUGGGCGCAAGCCUGAUCCACCCAUGCCGCGUGGGUGAAGAAGGCCUUCGGGUUGUAAAGCCUUUUUGUUGGGAAAGAAAAGCAGCCGGCCAAUACCCGGUUGUUCUGACGGUACUCAAAGAAUAAGCACCGGCGAACUUCGUCCCAGCAGCCGCGGUAAUACGAAGGGUGCAAGCGUUACUCGGAAUUACUGGGCGUAAAGCGUGCGUAGGUGGUGGUUUAAGUCCGUUGUGAAAGCCCUGGGCUCAACCUGGGAACUGCAGUGGAUACUGUGGUGCUAGAGUGCAGGAGAGGUAAGUGGAAUUCCUAGUGUAGCGGUGAAAUGCGUAGAUAUUAGGAGGAACACCAGUGGCGAAGGCGGCUUACUGGACUGUAACUGACGUUGAGGCUCGAAAGCGUAGGGAGCAAACA
RNAcentral lists this ribosomal RNA (426 nucleotides) under uncultured bacterium. RNAcentral describes it as "bacterial SSU rRNA". It matches the Rfam family "Bacterial small subunit ribosomal RNA", at positions 356 to 774 of the family's 1533-position model. The record is from RNAcentral.